AUGCUUGCUGGAUGGAUGACUGCAGAAGACAGUUCAUGGCUACAAACACUCUCACUGGAUAUGGUACAUCUCCCUAUAGAGAUCGCUCAGUCAGGCAUUCAUCCAAUCUACUCCUGCACCGCUCAUUACGUCGAGAUGUUGCUCAAGGCAGAGGUUCCUCUGGUUUUUUCUGCCUUCAGGAUGUCUGACUUCACUCCCUCUCAGGUGCUGUAUUUCAAGUACUUCAUUUUAAUCACACCACUUCAAUCUUCUUUCUCCAUUUGUAAUAACCAAGCAGACUUGCCAACCUGUAUGGAUUUUGCAAAGCAGUUUGGCAUUCUGAUAUUUUUAGUGUCCCAGUCUUCCCAAAUGUAUAAUUUAUUUAGAGUUAUUUAUCAAUUUGCUGUCAACAGAAAGAAGCUUUAAAGUUUCCAUUUAAAGAAAGCAUUGUCAAAAAGGACAAACAAUGGCACUAACUUUUCUGAAUUUACUCAGGGCAUAUUAAUGAUAAUAAUAAUGUAAAAAAAUUGAGUGCAUUUGACCUCUCUUCCAUUUACACUGUGCUUUAUUAGAUUGUGUGGAUGUUUUUCUGUGAUUGUCACAGAACUGACGUUGUGAAUCAUGAUUGCUGGUUGAAUGAGUUUGACACUACCAGGGUAGAAAUAUAAAGAUGCAAGGACAUUCUGCUUUGACCUGAAUGACUGACAAUCUUCAUAGACAAAUGCAGUGAUUACUCAAAGCUGCACUCUCUCCAGGGUUUAUAUGCUUGGUGUCAAAUCUCUGCCUCAAUUCUUCUGUCAGAUUUAGUCAGAUAUGACCUUUUUCCUGCAGUCAAGGGCAAGCAUAUUAAAGAAUAACUGUGUUUUCUGGGUUUAGUUUAUUUAUAUUUUAUCCUUUGAACACUCUCAAUAGGCCUGGACAUGACAAAAAAAAGUAUUUCUCUGUGUGCCUGUAAAUUCAAGUACCAUGUUAAGGUUUACUGUACAGUGUGUUCUUGCAUCAACUUAUAUAUAUAAGGUUUUUUAGAACUUUUACUCAGCUGAGUAAAUAAAUAAAAAAUAUAUUCUGUAGUUGCUACACAGAUACCUGCAGUUCUGAAACUUAUAACUAGUUUUGAAUGGACAUAAACUGAAGGCAAGAAGAUUUUCUGUUUUGAAAUUGAGUGUCACCUCCUUCAUAGAGGCGUCCGUGUCUGGGCACUCAGGAACAAUGAUUCGAAUUCUAGACAAAGGAGGAGGAGAGACACAGAUGCUGUAUAAAUUGCCUGCUGGAGUGGUCUGAAUGUACAGAAGACAUGUACGCUUGGCAAAACUAGAACGCCAUCGACGAUACCACAGAAUAAUUGAACCGCUUCUAAGAGAGGAUUACAUGACCACAGCUCAGUUCACCACCACAGAAACAAAACAAAGAUACCUCAAGCCUCUUGAUAAAAGGGAUUUCUGCAUAUUUUGAUUCGAGCGACUUGAUUUAUUUUUUGUGUAUGAACUCCAGGAAUUUUUGUUUUUUUGCUGUCAUUCAUACAAAAUAAUUUUUUAUAAUUUUUUUGUCUUGUUUUCCAGACUCACCCUCAUGUCAUUCCAAACCAGUAUGCCUUUCUUCUGUGGAAUACAAAAGGAGAUGUAAAGGAGAAUGUUCACACUGCUCUUUUUCAUUUAAUGAAAGUGGAUAGGGAUUUGGGACAGUCAAGCUCCAAAAAAGAAGAAAACUCCAUUCUAUGAAUUCUGAAAAUUUUCCUCAGAGGAAAGAAAGUCUGUUUCGAAAGACAUGAGUGUGAGUAGAUAAUGACAAAAUUUUAACUAGUCCUUUAAGGAGAGAAAAUCCUGAGGCAGUGAUGUUUUAAAGGAGCGCUGAGGGUUUACAGUGUGCAAGCGUGUCUGCAAUAAAUCAGAUUUAGCACAUUCAUGCCCUUGUUUCACUCUUUAAAGUUUACAACUUUUUAGUUUUUGCGUGAGCAUCGGUGUUCACAGUGUACCCUGUUCAAUAGAGAAAAGGUUUCCGACAAUUUCUGAAAGGUUUCUGAGGAUUUGUACAUUAAAAGAAUUGCAAAACUUAUCUAUGUUUCAUCUAAAUUAAAGAUCUGGAUGGAAAUUACUUGUAACAAUUCCUCCGAAUGUCUCUCUAAAGCUGAAUACAGAGUAAAUGUACAAUGAAUCCAUUUUAGAUGAUUCAACAUUGCAGAAAUCAAACUCAACUAAAGUCAUUCUUUGUUUGCAGGAUUUAAAAAGCAAUUGUCUGUCACUACCGAAUACCUCCAACACUUUGAAAACCAUAACACUGGUUAGUGAGUUCAGAGCAUCCUGCAGAACCAUUUAAGGCCUUUUUUCUUUGUUUUUAUCAGCAACAAUAGGCAGCAUGGUUUUAAUGUCUUUAGGUAAUGGGUACUUGUAAUUAAAAUGACAUUUUUAGCAUUUUUAAUUUUAAACACACCAGUGUGCACCCAUUUUCUAGUACAUUUAAUCAUUUAGCAAAAACGUUUUAUACAAAGCGACGUACAAUUGAGGAGAACAAUAGAAGCAACAGUAUACAACAGUAUCUCAGUUAGUCUAGCGCAGUAAAGAUACAGUAGCAAGGUUUAUAUAUAUAUA
This 2564-nucleotide long non-coding RNA is filed under the name Carassius auratus (goldfish). RNAcentral's name for it is "lncRNA (ENSCARG00000034091.1)". The record is from RNAcentral. Lineage: Eukaryota; Metazoa; Chordata; Actinopteri; Cypriniformes; Cyprinidae.